GGGUUGUGAGGUUAAGCGACUAAGCGUACACGGUGGAUGCCCUGGCAGUCAGAGGCGAUGAAGGGCGUGCUAAUCUGCGAUAAGCGCCGGUAAGGUGAUAUGAACCGUUAUAACCGGCGAUACCCGAAUGGGGAAACCCAGUGUGACUCGUCACACUAUCAUUAACUGAAUCCAUAGGUUAAUGAGGCGAACCGGGGGAACUGAAACAUCUAAGUACCCCGAGGAAAAGAAAUCAACCGAGAUUCCCCCAGUAGCGGCGAGCGAACGGGGAGGAGCCCAGAGCCUGAAUCAGCAUGUGUGUUAGUGGAAGCGUCUGGAAAGGCGCGCGAUACAGGGUGACAGCCCCGUACACAAAAGCGCAUGUGCUGUGAGCUCGAUGAGUAGGGCGGGACACGUGGUAUCCUGUCUGAAUAUGGGGGGACCAUCCUCCAAGGCUAAAUACUCCUGACUGACCGAUAGUGAACCAGUACCG
RNAcentral lists this ribosomal RNA (472 nucleotides) under Salmonella enterica. RNAcentral's name for it is "partial 23S ribosomal RNA". It matches the Rfam family "Bacterial large subunit ribosomal RNA", at positions 1 to 503 of the family's 2925-position model. RNAcentral also lists the same sequence under 1 other name. The record is from RNAcentral. Lineage: Bacteria; Pseudomonadati; Pseudomonadota; Gammaproteobacteria; Enterobacterales; Enterobacteriaceae.